RNAcentral lists this ribosomal RNA (257 nucleotides) under uncultured bacterium. RNAcentral describes it as "partial 16S ribosomal RNA". It matches the Rfam family "Bacterial small subunit ribosomal RNA", at positions 99 to 354 of the family's 1533-position model. The record is from RNAcentral.
CGGACGGGUGAGUAACGCGUGAGCAACCUGCCUUUCAGAGGGGGAUAACGUUCGGAAACGAACGCUAAUACCGCAUGACAUUGUUGAGUCGCAUGACUUGAUAAUCAAAGGAGCAAUCCGCUGAAAGAUGGGCUCGCGUCCGAUUAGGUAGUUGGUGGGGCAACGGCCCACCAAGCCGACGAUCGGUAGCCGGACUGAGAGGUUGAACGGCCACAUUGGGACUGAGACACGGCCCAGACUCCUACGGGAGGCAGCAG